GAUUAAGUUAUUAAGGGCGCACGGUGGAUGCCUUGGCACUAGAAGCCGAUGAAGGACGUUACUAACGACGAUAUGCUUUGGGGAGCUGUAAGUAAGCUGUGAUCCAGAGAUUUCCGAAUGGGGGAACCCAAUACGAGUUAUGUCGUAUUAUCGAUACGUAAAUACAUAGCGUAUCGAAGGUAGACGCGGAGAACUGAAACAUCUUAGUACCCGCAGGAAGAGAAAGAAAAAUCGAUUCCCUGAGUAGCGGCGAGCGAAACGGGAAGAGCCCAAACCAACGAGCUUGCUUGUUGGGGUUGUAGGACACUCUAUACGGAGUUACAAAGGAAUAGAUUAGACGAAGCAUCUGGAAAGAUGCAUCAAAGAAGGUAAUAAUCCUGUAGUCGAAAAUCUGUUCUCUCUU
This 403-nucleotide ribosomal RNA is filed under the name Staphylococcus ureilyticus. RNAcentral's name for it is "partial 23S ribosomal RNA". It matches the Rfam family "Bacterial large subunit ribosomal RNA", at positions 1 to 398 of the family's 2925-position model. Lineage: Bacteria; Bacillati; Bacillota; Bacilli; Caryophanales; Staphylococcaceae. The record is from RNAcentral.